AGCUGAGGUAUUUUUAAAGGAUUCUCACAAUUUGCAACUCAAAUAAAUCUAGUAUUCAAGCACGUGCGUUUUUUAGGCUGUAAUGACUGAAAAUGUUAAACUAAAUAUUUUGCUUAAACAAGUAAAGACGAAGGGGGUAAAUGAGCAAAUUAAAAUGCAUGAAAACUGCCUCUGCCACGGCGGCUUCCUCUAGAAGAGAAUGGCUAAUUCAUCCGCGACAUAUUCUUGUCACUCCUCUGGAGAAAGGCCGCCCCAGGAGGAGCCCAACCGUUCAGCAUUUUGCUUCUGGUCAGGAUUGAUUCCAGAUGUGGGAGGUAAACGCUAGAAAGGGUUUGGAAAAUGGAGUGGAAAUGAAAAAUCCCGCAGGCCAUUUGAGUGUUGAUGACAGAUGAGUUAGAGUUCUUGGUUGCAAGCUAUGGAAGUUUACUAUUGACAAAUAAGCAACCAGGAGAUCACUGGAAGAUUAGCAGGAGGCUUACAGGAUGGGGGGAUACCGGCCUUGAAAAUAGGAAGCCCAAGAAGCAGAAGGCAGGAAGCAGAGCAAGGGGACACAGAAGCCUCUGGAGUCCAGGACAGCCAGGAAGAUAAUGAAAUGGAAGCUGCCUGCUGCUCAUGAAUGCAGAGGGAUAAGGCCAUUUUUAUCCCAGCCUUCCUGCUUCAAAUCUCAUCUUCUUCCUCCCUGGAAUCAAGGGUGAGACCCAAUAUUAAGGACUAAACCCACACAUGCAUUUUCUUAGUUGGGGAAUCUGAAUGGGCAUUCAACUAAUUUUGAGAAAUAGAU
This is a long non-coding RNA of Bos indicus x Bos taurus (hybrid cattle), 781 nucleotides long. NCBI's taxonomy places the organism in Eukaryota, Metazoa, Chordata, Mammalia, Artiodactyla, Bovidae. The record is from Ensembl.